UACGAAGGGGGCUAGCGUUGCUCGGAAUGACUGGGCGUAAAGGGCGCGUAGGCGGAUUGCUUUGUCGGGCGUGAAAUUCCAGGGCUUAACCUUGGGGCUGCGUUCGAGACGGGUGAUCUUGAGUGGGGAAGAGGGUCGUGGAAUUCCCAGUGUAGAGGUGAAAUUCGUAGAUAUUGGGAAGAACACCGGUGGCGAAGGCGGCGACCUGGUCCUUUACUGACGCUGAGGCGCGAAAGCGUGGGGAGCAAACAGG
RNAcentral lists this ribosomal RNA (253 nucleotides) under uncultured bacterium. RNAcentral's name for it is "partial 16S ribosomal RNA". It matches the Rfam family "Bacterial small subunit ribosomal RNA", at positions 524 to 776 of the family's 1533-position model. The record is from RNAcentral.